Molecule: long non-coding RNA, 562 nt
Filed under: Canis lupus dingo (dingo)
Lineage: Eukaryota; Metazoa; Chordata; Mammalia; Carnivora; Canidae
Description: lncRNA (ENSCAFG00020011266.1)
Source: RNAcentral
CUCCGAUUGGGCGUCCCCGGGGGUGUGUGGGGGGGCGGGGCGCCCGCGGGGGCCGCCGGCCGGUGGUACGGCCCAGCCACCGGCCUCCAACACCCCUCGCCGCGGCUCAAGUUUCUGCGCCCGGAGGACGCGGCCUCGGCCAAUCCCCGGGCUACAGGGCGCUUUUAAAAUGCAGGCCCAACCCCGUGCAAAUGAAUCCGGGUUUGGAGAGGGUUUCAGCUUACACUUGGGGAGGCGGCAAGCCACUCCCCCGUCCCAAGCCAGAUCAAACAGCUCCCUGGAGGUAUCCCCCAAAGGAAGCCCGUGCAGAGAGCUCCUGGAAGAGAAGAGCUUCGUGGUCAUGACAAGCUCAGCUUUGUCAUGGAAAUAGUAAAAGCCUGGGUGGCUCAGUUGGUUGAGCAUCUGCCUUCAUUUUGGAUCGUGAUCCUCGAGCCCCAUAUCCGGCUUCCUGCUCAGCAGGGAGUCUGCUUGUCCCGUUCCUUCCCCGCCCCUCUUGCGUGUGCUCUCUCUGUCUCCCUCUCUCUCAAAUAAAUAAAUAAAAUCUUUAAAAAGAGAAAAAAAA